UCCUCUCUCUACUACCACCUCCUCUCUCUCUACCACCUCCUCUCUCUACUACCACCUCCUCUCUCUACUACGUGAUUUAUAGGAGACCAUUUUCUUUGGACUGAAUGUUGGAUGAGUCUUCUCAAAAGCCCCCUGGAGAGGAGCGCUGGGAAUGGAUAAGAUACAUAUUUUUACAGCUCUGCCCUUGAUAAACAGUGGCCCAUUUGGUCAAAAGGCACAUUAGCGCUCACCUUAAAAAAGCCCAUAUGAGAGAGAGUGUCGUUGUUUUGUGGCAGAAUUAGGUGAGGGUUUUAUGUGUUGUUGGAGAGCUGCGUCUUGGGUUAGUUCAGCUCAGAAAAGGCCGGCCUUGUCAAUCUGCCGCUGUGGAGACGGAUGCCUCACGAGCGGGUCGUCUGUGGUGGUUUAUGUUUCAGUCUGAGGUAGAGACGGAUGCCUCAUGAGCGGGUCGUCUGUGGUGGUUUAUGUUUCAGUCUGAGGUAGAGACGGAUGCCUCAUGAGCGGGUCGUCUGUGGUGGUUUAUGUUUCAGUCUGAGGUAGAGACGGAUGCCUCAUGAGCGGGUCGUCUGUGGUGGUUUAUGUUUCAGUCUGAGGUAGAGACGGAUGCCUCAUGUCUGUGGUGGUUUGUUUCAGUCUGAGGUAGAGAUGGAUGCCUCAUGAGCGGGUCGUCUGUGGUGGUUUAUGUUUCAGUCUGAGGUGGUUUAUGUUUCAGUCUGAGGUGGUUUAUGUUUCAGUCUGUGGUGGUUUAUGUUUCAGUCUGAGGUGGUUUAUGUUUCAGUCUGAGGUGGUUUAUGUUUCAGUCUGAGGUGGUUUAUGUUUCAGUCUGAGGUGGUUUAUGUUUCAGUCUGAGGUGGUUUAUGUUUCAGUCUGA
Molecule: long non-coding RNA, 868 nt
Organism: Oncorhynchus kisutch (coho salmon)
Lineage: Eukaryota; Metazoa; Chordata; Actinopteri; Salmoniformes; Salmonidae
Exons: 2
Source: RefSeq, a predicted model, not a curated record